Molecule: ribosomal RNA, 464 nt
Filed under: uncultured bacterium
Lineage: Bacteria
Description: partial 16S ribosomal RNA
Rfam family: Bacterial small subunit ribosomal RNA
Source: RNAcentral
GACGAACGCUGGCGGCGUGCUUAACACAUGCAAGUCGAACGGUAAGGCCCUUUCGUUGGGGCACGCGUGGCGGGCGAGCGGGUGACACAUAGGUGAGCUACCCUGCACUUUGGGAUAGGCAUGUUCAACUGAGUCUAGUACCUGCUGGGAAUACGCUCUUCAUGCCGUGUGGGGGAAAGAAACUGCGGUGGGGGAUGGGCCCGCGGCUUAUCAGCUUGUUGGUGGGGUGGUGGCCUACCAAGGCAGCGACGGGUAGCCGGCCUGAGAGGGUGUCCGGCCACAUUGGGACUGAGAUACGGCCCAGACUCCUACGGGAGGCAGCAGUGGGGAAUAUUGCACAAUGGGCGGAAGCCUGAUGCAGCGACGCCGCGUGGGGGAUGACGGCCUUCGGGUUGUAAACCCCUUUCAGCACAGACGAAGCGUAAGUGACGGUAAGUGCAGAAGAAGCACCGGCUAACUACGUG